CACGUAGGGGGCAAGCGUUGUCCGGAUUCAUUGGGCGUAAAGAGCUCGUAGGCGGUUCGAUAAGUCGGGUGUGAAACCUCCAGGCUCAACCUGGAGACGCCACCCGAUACUGUCGUGACUAGAGUCCAGUAGGGGAAAGUGGAAUUCCUGGUGUAGCGGUGAAAUGCGUAGAUAUCAGGAGGAACACCGGUGGUGUAGACGGCUUUCUGGACCGUAACUGACGCUGAGACACGAAAGCGUGGGUAGCAAACAGG
Molecule: ribosomal RNA, 254 nt
Filed under: uncultured bacterium
Lineage: Bacteria
Description: partial 16S ribosomal RNA
Rfam family: Bacterial small subunit ribosomal RNA
Source: RNAcentral